GACGAACGCUGGCGGCGUGCCUAAUACAUGCAAGUCGAGCGAGCUUGCCUAGAUGAAUUUGGUGCUUGCACCAAAUGAAACUAGAUACAAGCGAGCGGCGGACGGGUGAGUAACACGUGGGUAACCUGCCCAAGAGACUGGGAUAACACCUGGAAACAGAUGCUAAUACCGGAUAACAACACUAGACGCAUGUCUAGAGUUUAAAAGAUGGUUCUGCUAUCACUCUUGGAUGGACCUGCGGUGCAUUAGCUAGUUGGUAAGGUAACGGCUUACCAAGGCAAUGAUGCAUAGCCGAGUUGAGAGACUGAUCGGCCACAUUGGGACUGAGACACGGCCCAAACUCCUACGGGAGGCAGCAGUAGGGAAUCUUCCACAAUGGACGCAAGUCUGAUGGAGCAACGCCGCGUGAGUGAAGAAGGGUUUCGGCUCGUAAAGCUCUGUUGGUAGUGAAGAAAGAUAGAGGUAGUAACUGGCCUUUAUUUGACGGUAAUUACUUAGAAAGUCACGGCUAACUACGUGCCAGCAGCCGCGGUAAUACGUAGGUGGCAAGCGUUGUCCGGAUUUAUUGGGCGUAAAGCGAGCGCAGGCGGUUCUUUAAGUCUGAUGUGAAAGCCCCCGGCUCAACCGGGGAGGGUCAUUGGAAACUGGAGAACUUGAGUGCAGAAGAGGAGAGUGGAAUUCCACGUGUAGCGGUGAAAUGCGUAGAUAUGUGGAGGAACACCAGUGGCGAAGGCGACUCUCUGGUCUGUAACUGACGCUGAGGCUCGAAAGCGUGGGGAGCAAACAGG
This 788-nucleotide ribosomal RNA is filed under the name uncultured Lactobacillus sp. RNAcentral's name for it is "bacterial SSU rRNA". It matches the Rfam family "Bacterial small subunit ribosomal RNA", at positions 28 to 776 of the family's 1533-position model. The record is from RNAcentral. Lineage: Bacteria; Bacillati; Bacillota; Bacilli; Lactobacillales; Lactobacillaceae.